GCUUUCGUGGUGUAGCGGUAACAUUGGGUCUUCCCAUGGCCUAGCUCCGGGUUCGACUCCCGGCGGACGCA
Non-coding RNA from Mycena galopus ATCC 62051, 71 nucleotides. The record is from the annotation of a GenBank genome assembly. Lineage: Eukaryota; Fungi; Basidiomycota; Agaricomycetes; Agaricales; Mycenaceae.